RNAcentral lists this signal recognition particle RNA (148 nucleotides) under Chlorocebus sabaeus (green monkey). RNAcentral's name for it is "Metazoan signal recognition particle RNA". It matches the Rfam family "Metazoan signal recognition particle RNA". Rfam says of the family: The signal recognition particle (SRP) is a universally conserved ribonucleoprotein. It is involved in the co-translational targeting of proteins to membranes. The eukaryotic SRP consists of a 300-nucleotide 7S RNA and six proteins: SRPs 72, 68, 54, 19, 14, and 9. The record is from Rfam by way of RNAcentral. Lineage: Eukaryota; Metazoa; Chordata; Mammalia; Primates; Cercopithecidae.
GCCAGGCGUGGUGGUGCACGCCUGUAGUCCCAGCUACUUGGGAGGCUGAGGCAGGAGAAUCGCUUGAAUGCAGGAGUCAUAGGCUGCAGUGAGUUGAGAUGGCACCACUGCACUCCAGCCUGGGCAACAGAGCGAGACUCUGUCUCAA